This 24-nucleotide non-coding RNA is filed under the name Arabidopsis thaliana (thale cress). The record is from RNAcentral. Lineage: Eukaryota; Viridiplantae; Streptophyta; Magnoliopsida; Brassicales; Brassicaceae.
AGACACCAAUACUAUGAGGCCGAA